Molecule: long non-coding RNA, 471 nt
Filed under: Pongo abelii (Sumatran orangutan)
Lineage: Eukaryota; Metazoa; Chordata; Mammalia; Primates; Hominidae
Description: lincRNA
Source: RNAcentral
CUUUCACAUUCGGGAAGCGUCGGGAUUAGGUGAAAGUCGCCGGACGGCCACAUGCAGCCCUGGACCCUGAACCCCGGCGUGCGUGGGCCGUGGGCCCUCGGGGAGAGGUUCCGUGCAGUCGGGGACUCCGGGGAAGCCUGUUUCGCCGUCUGUGUCAUGUGGCCAUCUUGAGUCUACUCUGUCGCUCUUGUGCCAUAGCACCCCGAGAACCGUCAGUUUGAGCCAGAUGGAAGCUGAGCUGAACAUAUUACGAUGGAUGAUGGAAACAUAAGACUAUCAAGAAAUCCAAAGUGGUAAUGGGCGAAGUUUAUUCAGCAUCCGGCAAUGGACUUAUCGUAGCUGGGGAAACAGGUGUUCCGAAUAAUAUCCUGGACGUUAUCAGGACACCUAUUUUAAAUAUAGGCCUGAAUUUUUUAAAGUAAUAUUUAAGGUGGUCCGUGAUAAUUAAAUAAAAUGCUUAAUUCAUGUGGC